AAAACUUUCAGCAACGGAUCUCUUGGCUCUGGCAUCGAUGAAGAACGCAGCGAAAUGCGAUAAGUAAUGUGAAUUGCAGAAUUCAGUGAAUCAUCGAAUCUUUGAACGCACAUUGCGCCCACCAGUACUCUGGUGGGCAUGCCUGUCCGAGCGUCAUUU
This 159-nucleotide ribosomal RNA is filed under the name Acremonium hansfordii. Its description in RNAcentral is "5.8S ribosomal RNA". It matches the Rfam family "5.8S ribosomal RNA". Rfam says of the family: 5.8S ribosomal RNA (5.8S rRNA) is a component of the large subunit of the eukaryotic ribosome. It is transcribed by RNA polymerase I as part of the 45S precursor that also contains 18S and 28S rRNA. The record is from RNAcentral. Lineage: Eukaryota; Fungi; Ascomycota; Sordariomycetes; Hypocreales; Bionectriaceae.